This 478-nucleotide ribosomal RNA is filed under the name uncultured bacterium. RNAcentral's name for it is "partial 16S ribosomal RNA". It matches the Rfam family "Bacterial small subunit ribosomal RNA", at positions 28 to 523 of the family's 1533-position model. The record is from RNAcentral.
GACGAACGCUGGCGGCGUGCUUAACACAUGCAAGUCGAACGGUAAGGCCCUUCGGGGUACACGAGUGGCGAACGGGUGAGUAACACGUGGGUGAUCUGCCCUGCACUUCGGGAUAAGCCUGGGAAACUGGGUCUAAUACCGGAUAGGACCCUGGGAUGCAUGUCCUGGGGUGGAAAGCUUUUGCGGUGUGGGAUGGGCCCGCGGCCUAUCAGCUUGUUGGUGGGGUGAUGGCCUACCAAGGCGACGACGGGUAGCCGGCCUGAGAGGGUGACCUGCCACACUGGGACUGAGAUACGGCCCAGACUCCUACGGGAGGCAGCAGUGGGGAAUAUUGCACAAUGGGCGCAAGCCUGAUGCAGCGACGCCGCGUGAGGGAUGACGGCCUUCGGGUUGUAAACUUCUUUCAGCACCGACGAAGCGCAAGUGACGGUAGGCGCAGAAGAAGGACCGGCCAACUACGCGCCAGCCGCCGCCGUAA